Molecule: small nucleolar RNA, 75 nt
Organism: Labeo rohita (rohu)
Lineage: Eukaryota; Metazoa; Chordata; Actinopteri; Cypriniformes; Cyprinidae
Source: RefSeq, a predicted model, not a curated record
AGUAGGUGUGAUGAUUUUAAAAUGUACCGCCCCAGACUGAGUUGUAUGACUGAAUGGUACUCCUUCUGACCUCUG